RNAcentral lists this long non-coding RNA (940 nucleotides) under Bos taurus (domestic cattle). Its description in RNAcentral is "long non-coding RNA NONBTAT018801". Lineage: Eukaryota; Metazoa; Chordata; Mammalia; Artiodactyla; Bovidae. The record is from RNAcentral.
CAGACACUUGCCAAAAGUCACGCAGCGAAUUCCUAUCAGAACCGCUUUUACUGCCUCCCCCGGCGACGUUCCCGGCCCGCCAACGUUUCUUUCGUCCUUACAAGGCCAGCUUCCACCCGCUGCUUUUGUGUAAAUAAAGCCUGGCCUUCUGCCUGCAGGUUGCCGCCAGAAGCCGGCCGGUGGGGGAAGGGUUCGGAACCGGUACGACCGCCUCAGCCGCGCCGGGAGAGGCCGAGAGUCCGCCACGCUCAGCCGUCGCGCGGGGGCGGUACUCCGGGCCCCCCAGGAUGAGCCGAGCCGAGAAACCCAGCACGAGAAAGUCCCCACCCACCUGCACCCUCUUCCGUGGGUCACCCCGCGCGUGGCAGGCCCUUGACAAAUAUCGUCCUGAAUUCUCCCCGCGAUCCUGGGAGUAUCCUCCCCAUUUUAUAGACGAGAGACUGAGGCUUACCAAGUGUAAGGGGCUUGACCGAGGUCCCAUAGGCGAAAAAAGUGGCAAACCAAGAACUUCUAACCGAAUAUAUCUGGCUGCAAAAUCCAGUCUUCUCCCAUCCCACCGGUCACCAGUGAGACUGUAAAGGUCUUAAAGGAGAAGAAUAAGAAAAAAAAUAACCACACGAAUCAGAUUAACAGAUCGUAAGGAAUUGAAAGGGCCUUCCAGAGCUGCUGGUAUUUCAAACAAGUGGACUCGAACCACAGGAUAAGUAACAAACUACUUUUCCUGGGUGACCAAUCAUACUUUUUUUUUAAUUAAAAAUAUAUUUAUUAAAAUAGAUUACGAUGGAGAAGAAUAUAAUUUUCAAAAUAAUGAUAGCUGAAAACAGAAGACUUAAAAGAAAUGUCAGGCUGUUUCCACCUCGCACACCUUUCGUUCGAUUGCACACACAUUCUUGACAUCAAGUACAUAAACAGGCAAACUGAGGCCCGAAACCAGUCCCAC